GAGGGUAUAGCCCAGUGGUAGAGCAUUCAACUGCAGAUCGAGAAGUUUCUAGUUCAAACCUGUAUGCCCCAUAUUUCA
Molecule: non-coding RNA, 78 nt
Organism: Trichonephila clavipes
Lineage: Eukaryota; Metazoa; Arthropoda; Arachnida; Araneae; Nephilidae
Source: the annotation of a GenBank genome assembly